AAUAGCGGAGAAACAACCCAUGUGAACAUACCUACUGUUUGCUUCGGCGGGAUUGCCCCGGGCGCCUCUUGUGCCCCGGAUCAGGCGCCCGCCUAGGAAACUUAACUCUUGUUUUAUUUUGGAAUCUUCUGAGUAGUUUUUACAAAUAAAUAAAAACUUUCAACAACGGAUCUCUUGGUUCUGGCAUCGAUGAAGAACGCAGCGAAAUGCGAUAAGUAAUGUGAAUUGCAGAAUUCAGUGAAUCAUCGAAUCUUUGAACGCACAUUGCGCCCGCCAGUAUUCUGGCGGGCAUGCCUGUCUGAGCGUCAUUUCAACCCUCAUGCCCCUAGGGCGUGGUGUUGGGGAUCGGCCAAAGCCCGCGAGGGACGGCCGGCCCCUAAAUCUAGUGGCGGACCCGUCGUGGCCUCCUCUGCGAAGUAGUGAUAUUCCGCAUCGGAGAGCGACGAGCCCCUGCCGUUAAACCCCCAACUUUCCAAGGUUGACCUCAGAUCAGGUAGGAAUACCCGCUGAACUUAAGCAUAUCAAUAGGCGGAGGAA
RNAcentral lists this ribosomal RNA (537 nucleotides) under Clonostachys rosea. Its description in RNAcentral is "eukaryotic LSU rRNA". The stretch from base 155 to 308 matches the Rfam family "5.8S ribosomal RNA". The record is from RNAcentral. Lineage: Eukaryota; Fungi; Ascomycota; Sordariomycetes; Hypocreales; Bionectriaceae.